This 460-nucleotide ribosomal RNA is filed under the name uncultured bacterium. RNAcentral's name for it is "partial 16S ribosomal RNA". It matches the Rfam family "Bacterial small subunit ribosomal RNA", at positions 338 to 795 of the family's 1533-position model. The record is from RNAcentral.
CCUACGGGUGGCAGCAGUGAGGAAUAUUGGUCAAUGGCCGUAAGGCUGAACCAGCCAAGUAGCGUGAGGGAAGACUGCCCUAUGGGUUGUAAACCUCUUUUAUGCGGGGAUAAAGGUGGCCACGUGUGGAUGUUUGCAGGUACUGCAUGAAUAAGGAACGGCUAAUUCCGUGCCAGCAGCCGCGGUAAUACGGAAGGUCCGGGCGUUAUCCGGAUUUAUUGGGUUUAAAGGGAGCGUAGGCGGGUCUUUAAGCUUGCCGUGAAAGUUUGUGGCUCAACCCUGAAAGUGCGGCGGAGACUGGCGACCUUGAGUGCGCGUGAGGUAGGCGGAAUUCGUGGUGUAGCGGUGAAAUGCUUAGAUAUCACGAAGAACCCCGAUUGCGAAGGCAGCUUACUGCAGUGUUACUGACGCUGAUGCUCGAAAGCGUGGGUAUCGAACAGGAUUAGAUACCCCUGUAGUC